GAAAUCUGCACUGAUAAAUCAAAGGCAAAAAAGAUGCCAGAUUGUGCCAGGGAGCUCGUGUUGUAGGUCAUCCAUCUGAUCCAGUGCCGUUCUGCACUGGGGACUGCCAUCCGACAGUAGGGCCAUGACCCUGGAGAGUGUAACCAUCAUCAUGGUUAUAUUAGUGUUACUGGCAUUUUAAAAGACAUCCUGGAACAUUCCUUUGGAGCUUCAUAGCAGUCUAAUGAGCAGAACAGGGUAGGUGACGAAACUGAGAUGUGGAGACUGUGGAGUAAAUUGUCCAAGGAAGUACUUGGCUCAUAUUCUCAAUAAAUUCACGUUCAUACAACGAACCCAUUCAUGAUGCCCCAGAGCAGCCUGAAAAGUACUUCUGAAAGUUUGUUUCUGGAAUCCCAUGCCCAGAAAUGUCUAGGACUGAGAUCCUGGGAGUUUGCAUCUUUCACCUGACUGAGAUGGGAAAGAAAUUUCCACUAGUUUUCUGUGAUUGGUUCUUGUGGAUUCAAGGCUGCUUCUUCCUACUGGAAAAGGUACUUGGAAGGCAUGGCUGCAUAGUAGGCAGGAAAUUAUAGGUCUCCACAUUGGGCUUCUGGAGAAGUAGGUAUAGAUCUAAGUACUGUGCAUGUUUACUUAUUUAAUUUUUCAACAGCCCUAAGUAGGUGCUAUUAAUAUUUUCAUCACAAAUGAUGGGACAGAAGCAGAUUUUGAGCAACUUUCUAGAAAAUGCAAAGAUACAAAGCAGAGGAACUGGGAGUCUGUUUUCCAAGUCUAAAAUGCUGACUGCUCUACCUUGCAACCCUUUACUUUCUUCCAGAAUGUGUAAGUUCUUGCUCUGUGUAUCUAUUAUCCUAGUCACCUCACUGCCUGUGUCCAGGUACAGGUAGAACAAUGGAAGCAGCUCUUGCCUGGAGGAAGACUAGGAGCUCAGGAAAUAAAGAUUUUUGCUGUACUAAAGAACUCAGGGCUUUCAAACAAAUUAACUGUCAAAGCCACAUAAGUCUCUGCAUUGUCUGUAGUGUCAUAAAAUGCACUCAAGGUACAGAGCUGCCUCAAUUCUUUCAAGAGAAAGAGGAGUCCAAUCUGGACAGAAAGGCACUGGUGGACGUUACAGGAAGUGUCUCCAGAUGCCAGAGCACUCUGACAACACAAGACAGCAACAGAUCAACCGUGGCCAGGACCACUGUGCCAAGAAGUCAGCGACAUUCCCUGUUAAGACUCUUACUUUGAUUAGGAGCUACUCCUAGAAAGAAAAUUCUGACACUGAUUUUGAUGGCUGAAGGAUGAUGUAUUAUCUGUGCCCUUAACGGUCCCAAAUUAAGCAAGAUGGGAGACUUCUAAGUUUGAAGAAUCAUCCCAAGGCCACAGUUUUAAUAAAUAAAUCUAAUUCUAAAAUCAA
Long non-coding RNA from Heterocephalus glaber (naked mole-rat), 1393 nucleotides. Lineage: Eukaryota; Metazoa; Chordata; Mammalia; Rodentia; Bathyergidae. The record is from Ensembl.